Molecule: long non-coding RNA, 4251 nt
Organism: Panthera uncia (snow leopard)
Lineage: Eukaryota; Metazoa; Chordata; Mammalia; Carnivora; Felidae
Exons: 4
Source: RefSeq, a predicted model, not a curated record
UUGGGGGAAGCGCUUGUCCCAGGCUGGACACGGCCUCCAGUGCUGCUCCGUGUUCCUGGGGCUCGAGAUGUGGGUCCCAAGCCUGUAGCGGCACCUUCAAACAUCUGUGCUGUGGCCCCUCAGGGACUCCUUGAGUGAUGCACCGAGAAGCUGCAGAGAAACCUCCAAGGGGCGCCCCAGGUUACUUCUCAUCACGGCUUCCUGAAAUGAGGCAGAUAUGCCCUCCACCCACCGGAGAGGGAGCUCCUCUGUUAGCAAGUGAAGGGCUCUCUGUAGGGUUUGGAAAAGUGACCCAUCACGUUUAUGGAGUUUGAGGAAAACAGUGCAGUAAUGUGAGAGGACACUGCUUAAUCUCAAACGUGGAGAAAAUGCUGGGGACACAUUUUCAUUCCAUAUCCACCGGCCACCUCUGCUCCUUGCUGUGGCACCUUUCUCCUGUCUUGAGUCUCAGUGCUGCUCCCCGGUCACUUCCUGCUAUUUUACACCAGUGUCCCUGGCUCCCGCUCCCUGCCCCGCCUUUUACAGCAUUGUGUGGGGACUCCACCAUGAGGGUGUGGUCUUCUCUGCACGCUUUUGGGUCAGAUGGCACCAAUGGAGAUCGCUGCAGAAGCAGGGCCGCUCCGGGGACAGGGCACUCGGGCUCUGAUGUGCACCUGGUGAUGGGGUCUGCACACACCGCUGUCAGAGGUCAGGGCCAGGCGGGGCCCCUGUGGCACAGCUGAGCAAACACACACCAGGAACGUUGCUGGCACUGAACGUCCCGGGAGGAAGUGGGGUAAAUAUGAUGGCGACACAAUCAUGUAGGAUUACUCUUCUGCCUGCCUGCUGGGACCUGGAAACACCAUCAGGUCACUUUCAGCUGGUGUGGGUAGACUUGUGGGCGGACGUGUACCUGGGUCAGCGUGGCCAUGGUGGGAAUGGGAAGCCAUGAAUUCCGCUUUGUUGGUGGUGUUGGUGUGGCUGUUAGAGCCUCAAGUAGUGAGGAUGAGGGAGACUUUCCAAGUGAACCCCCGCCCCCACAUACACCGGAGGCCCUUCCUGGUGUCGAGUAGGGGCGUCUGUGUCCACCUCCGCUUGCCAUGUGUGUAUCGGCGUGGCUUCAGUGCCACGUGCAGGGCUGUUGUAUGUUUUUGCUUUUUUUUUUUUUUUUAGAUAUGGGGGAACUUAGGUGCCAUAAAAGAUUAUAAACCCAGGCUUCCUUUCUAAACAUUUGGAAUAUCUUUCCGAAAUGUCCUGCAGUGUACCUCCAUCAUUUUGUUGGGGUCAAGCAAAUGUUAUCAUAGGACACUGUAAAUAUCUUAAUUGUCAGAAAUCUUUAACAUUGCUUGCGUCACCUGGGAGAGCUUGCCGGGAGCCCGCUGGUCACAAUGGGAGCCUAACUCAUGGCAGUGGCCGUGCGGGCGCCACUCCCACAGGUGCCGGGAGGGACGGGAGCCACCCCACUGCUCAGGGAGACCUUGGGCAAGUCUCCUAACACGCACAGACCCGGUUUCCUGAGAGGAACGGACGGUGGUUUAGACCAGCUGUGGUUAAGAGGUCACACUUUUCCAGGUUUCAGGGAACGUGUGCACAUCUUGCUGGGCCCCUGCCUGUGUGUUCUCACCAUGAAACAUGUCUCCGUGGUGGUCUUCCCACGCUUACCUUCCAGACCACAGACCAGUUGUGUGGGGCGUUCUCUGGCCCUGUCACUACAAGUCCCUGUACUCCGCUAAGGAUCUCCACCAGGAGGCUCCCGUUUGAGGAGUCAAGGUGAACGUUGUUGCUGAGCCAAGGAGAUUAACAGAGGUGCCAAAGAAGGUGCAUUUGCAGGGCGUCAGGGGCUGAUGAUGUUGUGCUUGGAGAAGAAAACCAUGCAGUCAGCUGUUUCUCUUGUUCCUGGCCGGCAUCCAGCCUGUGAGAGCUCCACCUGCCGUCCCUGGGGAUGCCAGGUUCCCCUCUGGCUCUUUGUUUCGUUCACCCUCCUGCUGACAAAGACCUGAGGUGCUUUAGGGACACCAUUUGCGUUUUCAUGUUCUCUUUCAGCCGAUUGUGGUGUAAGUGGUCGCGUGUCUUCCCUGGUCUCGGCAGCAGGUGGGAUGGGUCUCGGUGGCCCCAGUGUCAGCCAGGCUCUGGGACGGGAGCCGAGGCUCCCGUGGUCGGCCUUUCUCUCAACGGCGUUAAGAGCUCUGGCAUGAUGAUUUAGGGGACACCCAUCAGCUUUGCCGUGAUCCAACCUGCGGACUUACCUGCGCCCACGUGGUGCCGGUGCAGUCGUGGGGUGACCUGUGCCCAUCUAUCCUCUGGAGUCCAAGAAGGGGGAGGACGUGUGGGCCUCGUGGAGACGAGUGUGAGCACGCAGCUCCUUGCACACCGGGCUGCGGUGCUCGGCCCAGAGGGUGGCAGGUGUGUGUUCGGUGGCCAGGAGUGUGGCCUCCAUGCUCUGUGUGCUGCAGAAGGGAUUCAAAGCGUGACGCUGUGGACAUGGCUGAGCGAGGUGGAAGAGAGCCAGCUUGCUGCUCAGGUGAUGUUUCCCGUCGAAUGCUGUCCCCCAGAAGAUGGUGACCUGACUUGGAAAUAGGCUCUCUGUAGCUGAUCGAGGCAGGAUGAGGGCAUCAGGAUAGGCCUAGUCCAGUGAGACUGGUGUCCUUAUAAAAUGAGGAAAUUUGGGCAUAGGGACAGACAUGACAGAAGAGAGAGUGGGAAUGCCCGAGGCCACCAGUUGCUGGGGGAGGGGCAGCCCCAGGAAGAACCAGCCCCCCCUGAUAUUGGACUUCUGGCCUCCAGAACUGUGGGAGAAUAAAUUCUAUUGGGUAAGCUGCCCCAUCCGUGGGCCACUAGCCAGGGGACACUGAUACCUUUUGUGUGAGUGCUACUGUAGCUGCUCUCAGGCCUCCAGACAGGUGCCUCGUCUGAUACUCAGACAGGUGCGGCCCAAGGACGUUCCUGGGCCCGUGCCGCAUGGGGAAGAGAUGGGAAGAGUUCCCAUGUGAUGGGAACUUGCUCUGCAGCUGCGCUCUGUGCAGUGUGACAGCAGAGGCCUCCGAGGACAUCUUCCCAUGUCUAGAUGCAAAGUGUGGCACAUAGUAGGAGCUCAGCUGGGAAAACGCCAAUGAUUCACACAGAACUUGGCCACUUGAGGGCAACAUGUCACUGGCGAGAACAUUGUUAGUGAGAUGUUUUAUGUUCUUUUCCCCAGAACUCUUCAAAGUCUGGUGUGUUUUACCUCUUUUACUCGCAUGUUCAUGAGCCCUGGUGCUGGUGGCUACCAGACUCUAGAGUUCAGAUCCUCACCUAACUGCUAAAUGUCUUCGGUGAUUCGAUGAGCCUGAAGCCCCGUGGUGAUGAGAUAACCGUCCGCUCCCUUCUGUGUCACAGAAGGGGAGAGACAGCUGCCCUCUCCACCCCAUGAGAGGUCAACGGGCGUGACUUCACAGGGUGUGACCCUGUGACACACAUCUAGUGGAUGUUCUGUGGCAGGCACUGUGGUGGCCACAAGAAGUAAACCUGGUCCCUACUCCAAGAUUUUAGGGUUUAGUUGAGAAGGUGAUAAAAGCUACGGGGCUUAAAGAAGGAAGGGAUUACUUUUGCCCCCAAAUCUGGAGGGGUGUGUGGGAAAGUACAAGACGACGAAGACUGAAGUGCAGUGUCUUGUGGGGCCCACCUGGAGGAGCUGGCCACCACCCGAUGUCACGGUCCUCUUUUUGGCUUUUAAGAACAGAGGCCCGGGCCAUGCUGCCACACGGGUCCAGGGGAGCCAGCUGUUGGGGAGACACCCUGUUCUGUCUAAACUCAAGGCCAGGAAGAGUGGUGAUCAAAGCCAGGCCUGUGGCCACCUCCCACCUCCGUGCCCAGGUGUGACUGCCCGGAAUGUGGAAGGCACUCAGACAUCUGCCGGGUGGACCGCUCACGAUCCCGUGUUGAGAGGCACAGAGCACGUAUAUUGCCGUUCAGCACUUCCUGUUUUUGAAUCCAGUGGGGAAGCGUGGAGGAGUGUUCCCAGGGCUCUGCCUCCAGAACCCAAAUCCAGCAGACACAGGGAGACACUCCUCCCUGGGGAGUGUCAGUCACCUGUAGGGGUGACCAUGGCCUGAAGGACAUGCUGACGUGACGUGAUCUGUGCACACAGUUGCUUUCCUGUCUUAGUGUCUCUGAGGACCUGCUGUGCACUUGGGUAUACCUGCCGUGUGACUGUGUUACCACUUACCUCCUUUUGUAAAUCAGAUCAUAAAUUCACUUUGAGAAUUUUUCAUUUAUAAAAGGAACCAGUAGUAA